Molecule: non-coding RNA, 30 nt
Filed under: Homo sapiens (human)
Lineage: Eukaryota; Metazoa; Chordata; Mammalia; Primates; Hominidae
Source: RNAcentral
UCUCACGGUGGUGAUUGUGAUUAGACGACC